RNAcentral lists this ribosomal RNA (328 nucleotides) under uncultured eukaryote. RNAcentral describes it as "partial 18S ribosomal RNA". It matches the Rfam family "Eukaryotic small subunit ribosomal RNA", at positions 1470 to 1796 of the family's 1831-position model. The record is from RNAcentral.
CCCUUAGAUGUCCUGGGCCGCACGCGCGCUACACUGAUGCAUGCAACGAGUUUAUAACCUUGGCCUGAAAGGUCUGGGUAAUCUUUUGAACGUGCAUCGUGAUAGGGAUAUAUUAUUGCAAUUGUUAAUCUUGAACGAGGAAUUCCUAGUAAACGCGAGUCAUCAGCUCGCAUUGAUUACGUCCCUGCCCUUUGUACACACCGCCCGUCGCACCUACCGAUUGAAUGGUUCGGUGAAGAUCUCGGACUUCGAUAUUUAUUCUUUAUUGAGUUUAUAUUGUGGGAAGUUAUCUAAACCUCAUCAUUUAGAGGAAGGUGAAGUCGUAACA